GGGUUGUGAGGUUAAGCGACUAAGCGUACACGGUGGAUGCCCUGGCAGUCAGAGGCGAUGAAGGGCGUGCUAAUCUGCGAUAAGCGCCGGUAAGGUGAUAUGAACCGUUAUAACCGGCGAUACCCGAAUGGGGAAACCCAGUGUGACUCGUCACACUAUCAUUAACUGAAUCCAUAGGUUAAUGAGGCGAACCGGGGGAACUGAAACAUCUAAGUACCCCGAGGAAAAGAAAUCAACCGAGAUUCCCCCAGUAGCGGCGAGCGAACGGGGAGGAGCCCAGAGCCUGAAUCAGCAUGUGUGUUAGUGGAAGCGUCUGGAAAGGCGCGCGAUACAGGGUGACAGCCCCGUACACAAAAGCGCAUGUGCUGUGAGCUCGAUGAGUAGGGCGGGACACGUGGUAUCCUGUCUGAAUAUGGGGGGACCAUCCUCCAAGGCUAAAUACUCCUGACUGACCGAUAGUGAACCAGUACCGUGAGGGAAAGGCGAAAAGAACCCCGGCGAGGGGAGUGAAAAAGAACCUGAAACCGUGUACGUACAAGCAGUGGGAGCACAGGUUUACCUGUGUGACUGCGUACCUUUUGUAUAAUGGGUCAGCGACUUAUAUUCUGUAGCAAGGUUAACCGAAUAGGGGAGCCGGAGGGAAACCGAGUCUUAAUUGGGCGUUAAGUUGCAGGGUAUAGACCCGAAACCCGGUGAUCUAGCCAUGGGCAGGUUGAAGGUUGGGUAACACUAACUGGAGGACCGAACCGACUAAUGUUGAAAAAUUAGCGGAUGACCUGUGGCUGGGGGUGAAAGGCCAAUCAAACCGGGAGAUAGCUGGUUCUCCCCGAAAGCUAUUUAGGUAGCGCCUCGUGAAUUCAUCUCCGGGGGUAGAGCACUGUUUCGGCUAGGGGGCCAUCCCGGCUUACCAACCCGAUGCAAACUGCGAAUACCGGAGAAUGUUAUCACGGGAGACACACGGCGGGUGCUAACGUCCGUCGUGAAGAGGGAAACAACCCAGACCGCCAGCUAAGGUCCCAAAGUCAUGGUUAAGUGGGAAACGAUGUGGGAAGGCCCAGACAGCCAGGAUGUUGGCUUAGAAGCAGCCAUCAUUUAAAGAAAGCGUAAUAGCUCACUGGUCGAGUCGGCCUGCGCGGAAGAUGUAACGGGGCUAAACCAUGCACCGAAGCUGCGGCAGCGACGCUUAUG
Molecule: ribosomal RNA, 1188 nt
Filed under: Salmonella enterica subsp. enterica serovar Enteritidis
Lineage: Bacteria; Pseudomonadati; Pseudomonadota; Gammaproteobacteria; Enterobacterales; Enterobacteriaceae
Description: partial 23S ribosomal RNA
Rfam family: Bacterial large subunit ribosomal RNA
Source: RNAcentral